GUCCAUUCAUGCUAGCUGGGAGUAUAUUGGACUUCAGUGUCUUGCUUGGGAAUUAUUAUUGUCAAGUCAGGUCUGCCUAAAUGUCCGUUUUUAUGGAUUUUUGACAAAACGGUGACAUAGAUUUUACAGACUAGAUUCCUAUUGGCCAUAUUAUACCUCGUUGUGUUCCUAUACCACCUAUGCAUGCAUAUAUGAUAAUAGUUUUUACCAACAGUCACUUCCAGUUACGUAGUGGCCAUCAAAAGAUGCCCACCCCCACCUGAUUUUGG
This 269-nucleotide long non-coding RNA is filed under the name Mytilus galloprovincialis (Mediterranean mussel). The record is from RNAcentral. Lineage: Eukaryota; Metazoa; Mollusca; Bivalvia; Mytilida; Mytilidae.